RNAcentral lists this unclassified non-coding RNA (326 nucleotides) under soil metagenome. Its description in RNAcentral is "partial contains 5.8S ribosomal RNA, internal transcribed spacer 2, and large subunit ribosomal RNA". The stretch from base 1 to 120 matches the Rfam family "5.8S ribosomal RNA", at positions 35 to 154 of the family's 154-position model. The record is from RNAcentral.
GAUGAAGAACGCAUCGAAAUGCGAUAAGUAAUGUGAAUUGCAGAAUUCAGUGAAUCAUCGAAUCUUUGAACGCACAUUGCGCCCCUUGGUAUUCCGGGGGGCAUGCCUGUUCGAGCGUCAUUAUCACCCCUCAAGCUCAGCUUGGUGUUGGGGCCUGCCGUCAAGGCAGCCCUUAAAAUCAGUGGCGGCGCCAUCUGGCUCUAAGCGUAGUAAUACUUCUCGCUACAGGGUCCAGGUGGUGUCUUGCCAGAACCCCUCAUUUUUUAUGAUUGACCUCGGAUCAGGUAGGGAUACCCGCUGAACUUAAGCAUACAAUAAGCGGAGGA